UACAGAGGGGGCAAGCGUUAUUCGGAAUUAUUGGGCGUAAAGGGCGCGUAGGCGGCCAGGCAAGUGGAAGGUGAAAUCCCUCGGCUUAACCGAGGAACUGCCCUCCAAACUGCUUGGCUUGAGACCGGGAGAGGUGAGUGGAAUUCCCAGUGUAGCGGUGAAAUGCGUAGAUAUUGGGAGGAACACCAGUGGCGAAGGCGGCUCACUGGACCACAACUGACGCUGAGGCGCGAAAGCUAGGGGAGCAAACAGG
RNAcentral lists this ribosomal RNA (253 nucleotides) under uncultured bacterium. RNAcentral's name for it is "partial 16S ribosomal RNA". It matches the Rfam family "Bacterial small subunit ribosomal RNA", at positions 524 to 776 of the family's 1533-position model. The record is from RNAcentral.